Molecule: ribosomal RNA, 467 nt
Filed under: uncultured bacterium
Lineage: Bacteria
Description: partial 16S ribosomal RNA
Rfam family: Bacterial small subunit ribosomal RNA
Source: RNAcentral
GACGAACGCUGGCGGCGUGCUUAACACAUGCAAGUCGAACGGAAAGGCCCUGCUUUUGUGGGGUGCUCGAGUGGCGAACGGGUGAGUAACACGUGAGUAACCUGCCCUUGACUUUGGGAUAACUUCAGGAAACUGGGGCUGAUACCGGAUAGGAGCUCCUGCUGCAUGGUGGGGGUUGGAAAGUUUCGGCGGUUGGGGAUGGACUCGCGGCUUAUCAGCUUGUUGGUGGGGUAGUGGCUUACCAAGGCUUUGACGGGUAGCCGGCCUGAGAGGGUGACCGGCCACAUUGGGACUGAGAUACGGCCCAGACUCCUACGGGAGGCAGCAGUGGGGAAUAUUGCACAAUGGGCGGAAGCCUGAUGCAGCAACGCCGCGUGCGGGAUGACGGCCUUCGGGUUGUAAACCGCUUUCGCCUGUGACGAAGCGUGAGUGACGGUAAUGGGUAAAGAAGCACCGGCUAACUACGU